AGCAAGACUAACAAGGAUCCCCUAGUAACGGCGAGCGAACCGGGAAGAGCUCAAAUUUGAAAUCUGGCGUCCUCAGGGCGUCCGAGUUGUAAUCUAUAGAGGCGUUUUCCGUGCCGGACCGUGUCCAAGUCCCUUGGAACAGGGUAUCAAAGAGGGUGACAAUCCCGUACUUGACACGACCACCGGUGCUCUGUGAUACGUCUUCUACGAGUCGAGUUGUUUGGGAAUGCAGCUCAAAAUGGGUGGUAAACUCCAUCUAAAGCUAAAUAUUGGUGGGAGACCGAUAGCGAACAAGUACCGUGAGGGAAAGAUGAAAAGCACUUUGGAAAGAGAGUUAAACAGUAUGUGAAAUUGUUGAAAGGGAAACGAUUGAAGUCAGUCGUGUCCAUUGGAUUCAGCCGGUUCUGCCGGUCUACUUCCUUUGGACGGGUCAACAUCGGUUUUGGUCGACGGAUAAUGGCGGGAGGAAGGUAGCACCUCUCGGGGUGUGUUAUAGCCUCCCGUCGCAUACGCCGGCCGAGACCGAGGAACGCAGCUCGCCUUUAUGGCAGGGGUUCGCCUCUUCGAGCUA
Molecule: ribosomal RNA, 571 nt
Filed under: Teunia cuniculi
Lineage: Eukaryota; Fungi; Basidiomycota; Tremellomycetes; Tremellales; Cryptococcaceae
Description: LSU rRNA
Rfam family: Eukaryotic large subunit ribosomal RNA
Source: RNAcentral